Molecule: ribosomal RNA, 429 nt
Filed under: uncultured bacterium
Lineage: Bacteria
Description: bacterial SSU rRNA
Rfam family: Bacterial small subunit ribosomal RNA
Source: RNAcentral
UCGAGAAUCUUUCGCAAUGGGCGCAAGCCUGACGAAGCGACGCCGUGUGAGUGAAGAAGGCCUUCGGGUUGUAAAGCUCUUUCGCUAGGGAACAAGAGAAUUGGGAUAAUACCCCGAUAAUUUGAUGGUACUUGGUAAAGAAGCACCGGCUAACUCCGUGCCAGCAGCUGCGGUAAUACGGAGGGUGCAAGCAUUGAUCGGAAUUACUGGGCGUAAAGGGCGCGUAGGCGGUUGAAUAAGUCAGAUGUGAAAUUCCGGGGCUCAACCCCGGAGCUGCAUUUGAAACUAUGUAACUAGAGUACAGUUAGGGACAACGGAAUUCCACGUGUAGCGGUGAAAUGCGUAGAUAUGUGGAAGAACACCGGUGGUGAAGACGGUUGUCUGGGCUGAGACUGACGCUGAGGCGCGAAAGCUAGGGGAGCAAACAGG